RNAcentral lists this non-coding RNA (208 nucleotides) under Pontibacillus yanchengensis. RNAcentral describes it as "T-box sequence". It matches the Rfam family "T-box leader". Rfam says of the family: Uncharged tRNA acts as the effector for transcription antitermination of genes in the T-box leader family. Lineage: Bacteria; Bacillati; Bacillota; Bacilli; Caryophanales; Bacillaceae. The record is from RNAcentral.
UUAAAAGUUAUGAAGAAGACAGAUUUUUGGUUUGUUUUUCAGAGAGUCGAUGGUUGCUGUGAAUCGAUAAACAUCCUUAAAUUGAGCACUUCUGAGCUGGUAUCUGAACAAAGUAAGCAUACCCGGUUCCCCACCCGUUAUCGUGUCUGAGAUCGCUCCCAUGUUUUGAGCGUAUCAAGGGUGGUACCGCGUAAUACACGCCCCUUGC